RNAcentral lists this ribosomal RNA (249 nucleotides) under Vibrio diabolicus. RNAcentral describes it as "partial 16S ribosomal RNA". It matches the Rfam family "Bacterial small subunit ribosomal RNA", at positions 294 to 535 of the family's 1533-position model. Lineage: Bacteria; Pseudomonadati; Pseudomonadota; Gammaproteobacteria; Vibrionales; Vibrionaceae. The record is from RNAcentral.
GAGAGGAUGAUCAGCCACACUGGAACUGAGACACGGUCCAGACUCCUACGGGAGGCAGCAGUGGGGAAUAUUGCACAAUGGGCGCAAGCCUGAUGCAGCCAUGCCGCGUGUGUGAAGAAGGCCUUCGGGUUGUAAAGCACUUUCAGUCGUGAGGAAGGUAGUGUAGUUAAUAGCUGCAUUAUUUGACGUUAGCGACAGAAGAAGCACCGGCUAACUCCGUGCCAGCAGCCGCGGUAAUACGGAGGGUGC